GGGAAUGGAUGGCGACCUGGUGGCGCCCGCGGACUUCAAAUCCGUUGUCUCGUCGUAUCAGCGGCGAGAGGUGGGUUCGAUUCCCACACUUUCCCGC
Molecule: transfer RNA, 97 nt
Filed under: Candidatus Zhuqueibacterota bacterium
Lineage: Bacteria; Pseudomonadati
Description: candidate division KSB1 bacterium (microbial mat metagenome) tRNA-Sec
Rfam family: Selenocysteine transfer RNA
Source: RNAcentral